Molecule: long non-coding RNA, 724 nt
Organism: Trifolium pratense (red clover)
Lineage: Eukaryota; Viridiplantae; Streptophyta; Magnoliopsida; Fabales; Fabaceae
Exons: 3
Source: RefSeq, a predicted model, not a curated record
CUCACUUUCCAUUUUCGGCUUUCACUAUUCAUAUUUUCUUCUUUUUCCAUUAUUUUCUUCUUACGUUUAGAACCAGAAUAUUUUCUCACGGAACCACCGUGCCGGAACUCUCCUCCGGCCGUCAUCUUCUUCUCCUUCUAAGAUUAAUUCUUCGUGCAGUUCAGUCGCGGUUGUAAUGCGAAAUUAAUCGGUAAGCUUAAGGUGGAUGAAGGAACAAUCACAUUGAAAGCUAUUGUGCAAGUGUUUUAGUAAUUGUGGAUUGUUAAUGUAGAAGCAUCCACAUUGGAAGCCAUGGAUAUUGCUGGCCAGUGUUGGAAGAGAGAGGAGAGAGAAAGAUAAGGCAAUGUGAUAUGAUAUACAAUAUGGUGGAGGGAGAAGGUGAGAUGGUGGGGCCAAGAAGAAAAUGGGUUACAAAGGGUAGUGGUGAAAUCUUGUGUUGAGAGACUAUAAUAAAAUUGUAUUCUUCAUUUGAUCUAAUGGUUAAAACUUAACUUAACUUGCUCAUGGUGGGAAAUUUUAGCACUUGACCAUGCUAAAUGUCACCCCUAUGAUGAUCAUUGGUACCAUAAAUGUGUUGAUGUUUUAAAUGUGAGUUAACAAAUUCACAUUGAAUGAAAAUUAAAAUAUUGAGCGACCUAUAAGUGAGAUUACUAAUAUCGUGACACAGUUACAGUUCUGAACCGUUUGAUCUUAAUGGACAGUUGAUAUUGAUUUACUGUGUGAA